AAAAGGAACCAUUGUGAUGGUGUGACAGAUUCCUCCCAGGGUGCCACCUGGAACUAGGGUAUCACUGAGCCCUCUAACUCACCAGCCCGGGCUCCCUCUCAGCACUGUGCUGCUGUGACAAACUG
This is a long non-coding RNA of Chelonia mydas (Green sea turtle), 125 nucleotides long. RefSeq lists it as uncharacterized. The record is from RefSeq and is a predicted model, not a curated record. The transcript has 3 exons. NCBI's taxonomy places the organism in Eukaryota, Metazoa, Chordata, Testudines, Cheloniidae.